UGGUUCUGGCAUCGAUGAAGAACGCAGCGAAAUGCGAUAAGUAAUGUGAAUUGCAGAAUUCAGUGAAUCAUCGAAUCUUUGAACGCACAUUGCGCUCCUCGGUAUUCCGGGGAGCAUGCCUGUUCGAGCGUCAUUACACCUCUCAAGCAUUGCUUGGUAUUGGAUCUCAUCCAGAGAUGGAUGUGUCCGAAAAAGAGUGGCGGGCCAAAUUGGUUUUCAGCGUAGUAAAAUUUUCCCACUGUUAAAUCAAGAUGAGCUCUUGCCAAAAUGUUUAACUUCAAUGAUUGACCUCGGAUCAGGUAGGGAUACCCGCUGA
Molecule: unclassified non-coding RNA, 316 nt
Filed under: uncultured fungus
Lineage: Eukaryota; Fungi
Description: partial contains 5.8S ribosomal RNA and internal transcribed spacer 2
Rfam family: 5.8S ribosomal RNA (bases 1-133)
Source: RNAcentral